CCAACACUGCUCUGUCAGGAUGGAGAGAGCCCGGCUCGCUACCCUUGCUGUCUGCUCACUUCUAUCUGUUGUUGACUCUGAGGCUUUGACCAUCUCAGUGAGUGAGAGGCUGAUUCAUGCAGCAGUCGGAAACCCUGUGAUCCUGUCAGUCAGACCAUCGGAGAAGGUGAGGAGUGGGACUUGGAAACACAACGGGUCAGAUGUCCUUGCGUGGAUUGGAGAAACAUCAGAUAUUAACAAUCUUUACACAGGACGGGUGGAGUUCUUACACAGUAACUCCUCUCUCUUGCUCAAAUCAGUGACUGCUUCAGACAGCGGAGAGUACAGUGUUACCAUGAAUGCCUUCACUGGUCAUUCAGCGGAAGCAGCAAUGAGCCUUCUUGUAUUUGUGCCAAUCUCCUCUGUGUCCAUUACAUCUGAUGUUUCAGAAGCAGUGAAAGAGAAUGACACAGUUAUCCUGACAUGCCAUGUGCUUGGAUAUUGGACUGAAAUAACUUGGAUCUUCAAUGGGAGCCUUGUCAACAGCAAUGGGAAGAUAAAGCUUUCCUCAGAAAAUGCUACAUUGAUGAUAAUUAAUGUUGACUCAAGCCAUAUUGGCAGCUAUCAGUGUAUUGCACAGAGCCCUGUGAGUGAAAAAGAAAGUGAACCCUACUUCUUAACAUUGGACUAUCACUCCAAUGCAAAGGAAAGCACACUGAAAUGGGUUGUUAUAAUUUUUGCUGCACUCGCACCAUGCCUUAUGAUAUGCUGUGCAGUCUUCACCAGGAACAGAAUAAACUGUUGUGAUCAGCAAUGCUCCUGCUCCUUUCUCAGCAGGUACAUAUUUUAUUGCUGGGUGUCGUGCUGUAACAAAAAUGCUUCAGAGAAAAACAUUGACAAUAAGGAAAGAGGCAAUCUUGCAGGCACUUGGAUGGCAUGCUGUUCUGCGAGAGUGAAAAAAGAGUAUGACUCACCCUGCAUUGAGGAACCCAGGGCCCUGAGUGGUCUUUCCCUGGCUUGCUGCAGCAGUGUAAUAGGAGACAAGAUUGAAUUCCAGGAUGAAACAAACACAAAGAGUUAUCGUGGCAUCUUGCUGUCUUGCUGUAGUGGCAGGUCUCCAGAUGAAUCAGAGGGGUCAAGGCAUUGUUGCGGUACGUGGAUGUCCUGCUGCAAAACCAGAUUGAAGGACAGCAUCGAAACCAGCAAUUUUCGUGGGUUGUGGCUGUCAUGUUGUGACCAUGGAUUUGAAAAGGAUGAACAAUCGCAGGAAUACUACAAAACCAGAGAACUGUGUGAUUGCUGGAUAGCAUGCUGCAAUAAGGGGCAAGAGGAAUCCAGGGAGAUAUAUGUAAAUCCGAUAACUUGCACCACAGGACAACAACAAGCAAUUAAUUUCUGCUGGACAUCAAUAGCCAGUGCCCCUGCUGUGGGACAGCCUGCACAAAGCACAACUAGUGAGAAAAAUCCAGAAACGAAAUCUUAACCUCCAUUAUCUCUGCAGCGCCAUCAAAGGAAUUCCCACUUUAUGCUGCAGUUAAUAAGAAGAAGCAUAAGGGAAAUUAAACCGUUAGCCAUGGAAAGCUCCCACCAGCCUCGAAGACUAAAGAGUUUUUUCAAUAAAAGUGGUUGAUAUUCAGAAAGGAAUAAUGAAGACCUCUGUGGCUUGUGAUCAAGAUUCUAAAAUACUAUCUGCUCCUGUUAGACUUGAGAAAGGACAUUUGGCCAGAGCACCAUCAAUAUUCUUCCUUCCAACACUGUUGUGGUGUCAUUUGCCGGUUCAACUUAAAUUCCUGAAUCUGAAGUAUGGUAGCUCCAUCUCUAUGUGGAUCGCAGUGCAAUAGAGGAGCGCAAAGCCAGGUUAUCAAGUACAGCCAGGAUGGACUCCUACAGAUCGCACUCUGUUCAUUCUGUAGAUUGGAUUGAAUUGAAGCAAUGUGUUCAUCACAAUCGUACAUCAGUAUGCAAUACCUCUGCACAUUUCUAUCUAUGGCCAUGUGUGUUCUUGCCGACUGCUACAUAGCUGGUUUAACCAAAUCUUUCAAACAAGAAACUAACAUAAGAAAGAGGAUAAUUAACCUUUAAAAGAAUUUGACAUAAGUUAUUGUUACAAGCAAUAUUGUUAUAUUUCAUGUCAUUUUCUUUGAAACUGUCAUUAAAAGAAAGCUCAUAAAAUGGUAAAAGUGGCAUAUGUUGUUUUGAGACAAUGGAUCAGAGCCUCUGAAGUGCUUACAGUCAUACUUAAGUUUUGGACAAGACGUGUUGUUCUCAAGACAAAGAGCUCAAGUUAAGUCUAGCCAAUAAAGUAAUCUCUAAGUUUGAAAUUCGUUGGCAGCUAAGAUUUCCUGGAAAACUCCCAUUGCAUAAAGAAAGGUGCCAAAAAAACUGCAAAGAGCAAAACUUCAAAAGGCAGAAGCACAAGGCAAUCUAAGUACCUCAUCUCAGCAGGAAAGCAUAUCCUAAUGCUUAUAUUCCAGACUGUGUACUUAUUGCCUUACCAGUCUAGAUAUAUAGAACAAAC
Molecule: RNA transcript, 2497 nt
Organism: Stegostoma tigrinum
Lineage: Eukaryota; Metazoa; Chordata; Chondrichthyes; Orectolobiformes; Stegostomatidae
Exons: 17
Source: RefSeq, a predicted model, not a curated record